UACAGAGGGGGCAAGCGUUAUUCGGAAUUAUUGGGCGUAAAGGGCGCGUAGGCGGCUUGGCAAGUGGAUGGUGAAAUCCCUCGGCUUAACCGAGGAACUGCCGUCCAAACUGCUUCGCUUGAGACCGGGAGAGGUGAGUGGAAUUCCCAGUGUAGCGGUGAAAUGCGUAGAUAUUGGGAAGAACACCCGUGGCGAAGGCGGCACUCUGGGACGGUACUGACGCUGAGACGCGAAAGCGUGGGGAGCGAACAGG
RNAcentral lists this ribosomal RNA (253 nucleotides) under uncultured bacterium. RNAcentral's name for it is "partial 16S ribosomal RNA". It matches the Rfam family "Bacterial small subunit ribosomal RNA", at positions 524 to 776 of the family's 1533-position model. The record is from RNAcentral.